RNAcentral lists this ribosomal RNA (333 nucleotides) under uncultured bacterium. RNAcentral's name for it is "bacterial SSU rRNA". It matches the Rfam family "Bacterial small subunit ribosomal RNA", at positions 28 to 334 of the family's 1533-position model. The record is from RNAcentral.
GAUGAACGCUGGCGGCGUGCUUAACACAUGCAAGUCGAACGGAGAUAUGAAGCGAGCGGGAAGUGCUUGCACAGAACAAUCAUUUCAUAACUUAGUGGCGGACGGGUGAGUAACGCGUGGGUAACCUGCCUUAUACCGGGGGAUAACACUUAGAAAUAGGUGCUAAUACCGCAUAAGCGCACAGUAUCGCAUGAUACAGUGUGAAAAACUCCGGUGGUAUAAGAUGGACCCGCGUCUGAUUAGCUUGUUGGCGGGGUAACGGCCCACCAAGGCGACGAUGCGUAGGGGUUCUGAGAGGAAGGUCCCCCACAUUGGUACUGAGACACGGACCAA